RNAcentral lists this long non-coding RNA (1357 nucleotides) under Neodiprion pinetum (white pine sawfly). RNAcentral describes it as "uncharacterized LOC124223002". The record is from RNAcentral. Lineage: Eukaryota; Metazoa; Arthropoda; Insecta; Hymenoptera; Diprionidae.
UAGUUAAGGACUGAGCGGUAACCGGGACUAAAAAUUUCUCUCAGUGCUCGCUAUGAAAUUAAAAAUAAAAAAGACAAGAAUCUUUUACAAGUUCACGCGUGUUCAAAUAAAGUAUCGCAAUUAUAAAUGACGGAUUAUUCGGUUUCGUUGAGAGUUCUCCGUGCCAAACGAAGAUAGACAUCGGUCGAUGCGAAGUGAUCGGAUAACGUGGAACCUCGGUUAAUCGAAGGUCGGAUAAGCGAGGUUCUACCGUACAUCAUGUAUGCUGCAUUCGUAAUAUUAUGUGAAAAUUCAACAGGCUUCGAAAGCUCAGCGGUACAUAAUAAUUUUCCUAUACUAUCGUUCUUGAUUUUUCAAUGCAGAGAAACAGGAAACCACAGAUAACGAUGUUAUCACGGCUGUGCGACUCUGGUUUGGGUUCAUUUCUCAUUGUUAGGCCUGAGUUCAAAAAUCUCGGAAAAUGUUUUCCCGAGCAACCGUGAGCACAGGACCGAAUUUGGAGAAGAGCGAUGUGAGCCGAAGUCUCUUUUUUAGCGGCCUUUAAAUACGGCCCUGUCGGUGAGCAGGGUUUAUUCGAAUUCUCGGAGUAUCGUUCCUCCACAGCCCUGCGAUCGAUCUUAUAAAGUGAGACGGCAGUGGAAUCGGAUGUAAUAACACGAUGUACAAGGGAUAUUUUCCAGCUGACCCUGAAACGACGGAGUACAGGUACGAUUGAAAAUAUGCUGUAACAAUAAAACGAUUGCCUGCCUCAGGCGCCCGGAUUUUUCCGCUGUAAGGAAAAGCUCACGGUAUAUAAUUUUCUUCAUCGUACGUACAUACGUGGUAAAAAUCAGGUUGACGUAACAUUUGUUGUACAAGAAAAUCAUCGAGCGUAACAGUGAUCGCAGUCCCAAAGUCGAGAAUUGGAACAUGAGAAAUGUCCUUCACCGCGGUGGGUGUGUGUAUGACGUAUUAGUCACGCGUGUGGUAACCAUGUGACUGACGAUCGGGCAAAGUGCGAAAUAUCGCUUGACGAACCUGCAGGAUCUAUUCAGGCUAUUGAACGAAUACCACAAUAAUUUUUUCCCUCGUCAAUAAAGCUGGUUUCAACGAGUCAUUCUAUGACAUUGUUUGAACAAAUUCUCCAAGAGAUAUAUUUUUAAUUGUAUUGUAUCAAUCGUUAGAAUAAAUUUAUCUGUAUUUCUUUCUCACCGACGAAAGUAUUCAAUAUUAGUCAGACUACUUUUGCCAUCAAAGAAUAUCUUCAAUUUGUGACAGGAAAAUUUGAAGAAAUAAAUAUUUCUAUUCUCCCGCACCCAUAUAAUUGAAAAGAUUUGCAACAUUUUGCGAAAUGGUUCUUCGAUAUCACUUGAUGAUG